AGUGAACGCUGGCGGUAGGCCUAACACAUGGAAGUCGAACGGCAGCACAGUAAGAGCUUGCUCUUACGGGUGGCGAGUGGCGGACGGGUGAGGAAUACAUCGGAAUCUACUUUUUCGUGGGGGAUAACGUAGGGAAACUUACGCUAAUACCGCAUACGACCUACGGUUGAAAGCAGGGGAUCUUCUGACCUUGCGCGAUUGAAUGAGCCGAUGUCGGAUUAGCUAGUUGGCGGGGUAACGGCCCACCAAGGCGACGAUCCGUAGCUGGUCUGAGAGGAGGAUCAGCCACACUGGAACUGAGACACGGUCCAGACUCCUACGGGAGGCAGCAGUGGGGAAUAUUGGACAAUGGGCGCAAGCCUGAUCCAGCCAUACCGCGUGGGUGAAGAAGGCCUUCGGGUUGUAAAGCCCUUUUGUUGGGAAAGAAAAGCAGCAGGUUAAUACCCCGCUGUUCUGACGGUACCCAAAGAAUAAGCACCGGCUAACUUCGUG
This 492-nucleotide ribosomal RNA is filed under the name uncultured bacterium. RNAcentral's name for it is "partial 16S ribosomal RNA". It matches the Rfam family "Bacterial small subunit ribosomal RNA", at positions 29 to 507 of the family's 1533-position model. The record is from RNAcentral.